RNAcentral lists this long non-coding RNA (2069 nucleotides) under Capsicum annuum. RNAcentral's name for it is "long non-coding RNA (CANN_LNC020444)". Lineage: Eukaryota; Viridiplantae; Streptophyta; Magnoliopsida; Solanales; Solanaceae. The record is from RNAcentral.
AACUUAACCAUUUUCGAGCAUCUAAGUGUCAAAACAAAACCACAUUCCAAAAUAAAAAUCCAUUUUAAAGUCCCUAAACUUAACCAUUUUCAACCAACCAAGUCACCUAACCAAACCACAUUCCAAAACAAAAAUCACUUCUAAAGUCCGUAAACUUAACCAUUUUCGAGAAUCAAAGUGUCAAAACAAAACCACAUUCAAAAAUAAAAAUCCCUUUUAAAGUCCCUAAACUUAACCAUUUCCAACCAACCAAGUCACCUAACAAAACCACAUUCCAAAAUAAAAAUCUCUUCUAAAGUUCUUAAACUUAACCAUUUUCGAGCAUCUAAGCGUCAAAAUAAAACCACAUUCCAAAACAAAAAUCCCUUUUAAAGUCCCUUAACUUAACCAUUUUCAACCAACCAAGUCACCCAACAAAACCACAUUCCAAAAUAAAAAUCUCCUCUAAAGUCCAUAAACUUAACCAUUUCCGAGCAUCUAAGUGUCAAAACAAAACCACAUUCCAAAACAAAAAUCCCUUCUAAAGUUCACAAAUUGAACCAUUUUCGAGCAUCUAAGUGUCAAAACGAAACAACAUUCCAUAUCAAAAAUCUCUUUUAUAGACCCUAAACCUAACACUUUUUAACCAAGUGUCAAAACAAAACCACAUUCCAAAACAAAAAUCCCUUCUAAAGUCCCUAAACUUAACAAUUUUCAACCAACCAAGUCACCUAACAAAACCACAUUCCAAAACAAAAUACCCUUCAAAAGUCCCUAAACUUAACCAUUUUGGAGCAUCUCUGUGUCAAAACAAAAUUUCAUUACAAAAAAAAAUCCCUUCUAAAGUCCGUAAACUUAACCAUUUUCGAGCAUCUAAGUGUCAAAAUAAAAUCACAUUUCAGAACAAAAAUCUCUUUUAAAGUCUCUAAACCUAACACUUUUUAUCCAAGUGUCAAAACAAAACCACAUUCCAAAACAAAAAUCCCUUCUAAAGUCCCUAAACUUAACCAUUUUCAACCAACCAAGUCACCUAACAAAACCCUAUUCCAAAACAUAAUCCCCUUCUAAAGUCCCUAAACUUAACCAUUUUCGAGCAUCUAAGUGUCAAAACAAAACCACAUUCCAAAACAAAAAAUUAUUUUAAAGUCCCUAAACUUAACCAUUUUCAACCAACCAAGUCACCUAACAAAACCCUAUUCCAAAACAUAAUCCCCUUCUAAAGUCCCUAAACUUAACCAUUUUCGAGCAUCUAAGUGUCAAAACAAAACCACAUUCCAAAAAGAAAUCCCUUCUAAAGUCCGUACACUUAACCAUUAUCGAGCAUCCAAGUGUCAAAACAAAAUCACAUUCCAAAACAAAAAUCUCUUUUAAAGUCCCUAAACCUAACACUUUUUUUCCAAGUAUCAUAACAAAAGCACAUUUCCAAACAAAAAUCCCUUCUAAAGUCCCUAAACUUAACCAUUUUCAACCAACCAAGUCACCAAACAAAACCACAUUCCAAAACAUAAUGCCUUUCUAAAGUCCCUAAACUUAACCAUUUUCGAGCAUCUAAGUGUCAAAAGAAAAUCACAUUCCAAAACAAAAAUCCAUUUUAAAAUUCCUAAACUUAACCAUUUUCUACCAACCAAGUCACCUAACAAAACCACAUUCCAAAACAAAAUCUCCUUCUAAAGUCCCUAAACUUAACCAUUUUCGAGCAUCUAUGUGUCAAAACAAAACCACAUUCUAAAACCAAAAUCCAUUUUAAAGUUCCUAAACUUAACCAUUUUCAACCGACCAAGUCACCUAACAAAAUCACAUUCCAAAACAAAAUCCCCUUCUAAAAUCCCUAAACUUAACCAUUUUCGAGCAUCUAAGUAUCAAAACAAAACCACAUUCCAAAACAAAAAUCCAUUUUAAAAUCCCUAAACUUAACUAUUUUCAACCAACUAAGUCGCCUAACAAAACCACAUUACAAAACAAAAUCCCCUUCUAAAGUCCCUAAACUUAACCAUUUUCAAGCAUCUAAGUGUCAAAACGAAACCACAUUCCGAAAUAAAAAUCCAUUUUAAAGUCCCCUAAACUUAACCAUUUUCAAUCAACCACGUCAC